ACGAACGCUGGCGGCGUGCUUAACACAUGCAAGUCGAACGAUGAAGAAGAGAAACGCGAACUUCGGUUCAAAUUUCACUUCGGAUUAGUGGCAGACGGGUGAGUAACGCGUGAGCAACCUACCUCUUACAAAGGGAUAGCCUCGGGAAACCGUGAUUAAUACCAUAUGACACAUUCAUAAGGCAUCUUAAGAAUGUUAAAGCUACGGCGGUAAGAGAUGGGCUCGCGUCCCAUUAGCUAGUUGGUGAGGUAACGGCCCACCAAGGCGACGAUGGGUAACCGGCCUGAGAGGGUGAACGGUCACAUUGGAACUGAGACACGGUCCAAACUCCUACGGGAGGCAGCAGUGGGGAAUAUUGAACAAUGGAGGGAACUCUGAUGCAGCGACGCCGCGUGAGCGAUGAAGGAAUUCGUUUCGUAAAGCUCUGUUCUAUGGGAAGAAAAGGACUGUACCAUAGGAGAAAGCCCCGGCUAAAUACGUG
RNAcentral lists this ribosomal RNA (481 nucleotides) under uncultured bacterium. RNAcentral describes it as "partial 16S ribosomal RNA". It matches the Rfam family "Bacterial small subunit ribosomal RNA", at positions 29 to 507 of the family's 1533-position model. The record is from RNAcentral.